This 402-nucleotide long non-coding RNA is filed under the name Homo sapiens (human). RNAcentral describes it as "HSALNT0400246". Lineage: Eukaryota; Metazoa; Chordata; Mammalia; Primates; Hominidae. The record is from RNAcentral.
CCUUAAUCUGGGUGGGCACCAUCUAAUCAGCUGCCAGCGAGACCAGAAUAAAAGCAGGCAGAAGAAUGUGGAAAGACUAGACUGACUUAGCCUCCUGGCCUACAUCUUUCUCCUGUGCUGGAUGUUUCCUGCCCUCAAACAUCGGACCCAAAGUUCUUCAGCUUUGGGACCCUUGGACCUUUGGCCACAGACUUAAGUCUGCAGUCGGCUCCCCUACUUUUGAGGUUUUGGGACUCAAACUGGCUUCCUUACUCCUCAACUUGCAGAUGGCCUAUUGUGGGACCUCGCCUUGUGAUCGUGAGGCAUAUGCGCAACCCUGUUUGAAGACCUUCCUUCCCUCACCCAGCAGUAAACACCAUCUGGGCCACCUGCUGUAUCUGCUGGGGUGCAUGGCUUUUCUAG